GAAUUUCGGGAUCAAUAUUUCGGUCAUGCCGUUGGUAUGCACUGUUAUCAUUGAUUUCUCACCUUCUAAAGAACCGUAAUGCCAUUAAUUUGGUNUUACGGGGAAUUAGGACUGUUACCUUGAAAAAUUAGAGUGUUUAAAGCAGGCUCACGCUUGAAUACAUUAGCAUGGAAUAAUGAAAUAGGACAUCCGAUUCUAUUUUGUUAGGUUUCUAGGAUCGAUGUAAUGAUUAAUAGGGAUAGUUGGGGGCAUUAGUAUUCAAUUGUCAGAGGUGAAAUUCUUGGAUUUAUUGAAGACUAACUACUGCGAAAGCAUUUGCCAAGGAUGUUUUCAUUAAUCAAGAACGAAAGUUAGGGGAUCGAAGACGAUCAGAUACCGUCGUAGUCUUAACCAUAACCUAUGCCGACUAGGGAUCGGAUGAUGUUAAUUUUUUAAUGACUCAUUCGGCGCCUUACG
RNAcentral lists this ribosomal RNA (456 nucleotides) under uncultured Glomus. RNAcentral's name for it is "SSU rRNA". It matches the Rfam family "Eukaryotic small subunit ribosomal RNA", at positions 636 to 1092 of the family's 1831-position model. The record is from RNAcentral. Lineage: Eukaryota; Fungi; Glomeromycota; Glomeromycetes; Glomerales; Glomeraceae.